UUUUUUAUUUUUAUUUUUUUUAAUUAGAGACGACCGUCAAGAAAGGUAUAAACUUUAAACCUUUGCACAUGGAUCCAAUUCUUCAGGUGGACUCCCACAUACCUGCCCAAAAACGUUCCAGGCACCUGAUCUAGAUAUUCAGCAUAGAUAUGAACUUGCCAGCUCUCUUCACAGUCUAAAGCCAGAGGGCAGCAUCCUAAAAGACAGAUUUAAGAGUUUACAGAAGAGAAACACUGAGGCCAGAGAAAGAGCCAAGUUUAAGAGGAAGUAUAAGCUGAAGUACUCAGAGAAGAGGGCCUUCAGGGAGAUACAGUGACCGCACAAGUUGUUUUCUUUCAGUCCUCCAACAAAUUAUGGGGUGCUAUUCAUGUUGCAAUAAAAAAAAAGCUUAUAUUACAACAACCUCUCGUCUUAACGGUUUUUCUGAAAACUUCAACUGCUGUUUGCGAUGUUGUUGCAAAGCAGAAAGUAUGCUUAAGUUUCCCCAUUCAGCAAGUCAAAGGUGACCGUGGCAGUGGGGAAAGAAAAUCCAUAAAAUAUGAAGAUGGAAAAAAAGAAA
Molecule: long non-coding RNA, 559 nt
Organism: Carassius carassius (crucian carp)
Lineage: Eukaryota; Metazoa; Chordata; Actinopteri; Cypriniformes; Cyprinidae
Exons: 4
Source: RefSeq, a predicted model, not a curated record